RNAcentral lists this ribosomal RNA (365 nucleotides) under uncultured bacterium. RNAcentral describes it as "bacterial SSU rRNA". It matches the Rfam family "Bacterial small subunit ribosomal RNA", at positions 28 to 421 of the family's 1533-position model. The record is from RNAcentral.
GAUGAACGCUGGCGGCAUGCCUAACACAUGCAAGUCGAACGAGACCUUCGGGUCUAGUGGCGCACGGGUGCGUAACGCGUGGGAACCUGCCUUUAGGUUCGGAAUAACUCAGAGAAAUUUGAGCUAAUACCGGAUAAUGUCUUCGGACCAAAGAUUUAUCGCCUUUAGAUGGGCCCGCGUUGGAUUAGCUAGUUGGUGGGGUAAAGGCCUACCAAGGCGACGAUCCAUAGCUGGUCUGAGAGGAUGAUCAGCCACACUGGGACUGAGACACGGCCCAGACUCCUACGGGAGGCAGCAGUGGGGAAUAUUGGACAAUGGGCGAAAGCCUGAUCCAGCAAUGCCGCGUGAGUGAUGAAGGCCUUCGG